Molecule: transfer RNA, 76 nt
Filed under: Zetaproteobacteria bacterium CG1_02_49_23
Lineage: Bacteria; Pseudomonadati; Pseudomonadota; Candidatius Mariprofundia
Also listed under: 4 other names
Description: tRNA-Arg
Rfam family: tRNA
About the family: Transfer RNA (tRNA) molecules are approximately 80 nucleotides in length. Their secondary structure includes four short double-helical elements and three loops (D, anti-codon, and T loops). Further hydrogen bonds mediate the characteristic L-shaped molecular structure. tRNAs have two regions of fundamental functional importance: the anti-codon, which is responsible for specific mRNA codon recognition, and the 3' end, to which the tRNAs corresponding amino acid is attached (by aminoacyl-tRNA synthetases). tRNAs cope with the degeneracy of the genetic code in two manners: having more than one tRNA (with a specific anti-codon) for a particular amino acid; and 'wobble' base-pairing, i.e. permitting non-standard base-pairing at the 3rd anti-codon position.
Source: RNAcentral
GCCCUCGUAGCUCAGGGGAUAGAGCAGCCGCCUCCUAAGCGGCAGGCCACACGUUCGAAUCGUGUCGAGGGCACCA